Molecule: ribosomal RNA, 370 nt
Filed under: uncultured eukaryote
Lineage: Eukaryota
Description: partial 18S ribosomal RNA
Rfam family: Eukaryotic small subunit ribosomal RNA
Source: RNAcentral
CAAUAGCGUAUAUUAAAGUUGUUGCAGUUAAAAAGCUCGUAGUUGGACCUUGGACCUGGACAGGCGGUCCGCCUCACGGCGUGUACUGUCUUGCUGGGUCUUUCCUCUUGGUGAUCUGUUGUUUCGGCAGCAGGGAACCAGGACUUUUACUUUGAAAAAAUUAGAGUGUUCAAAGCAGGCUCGACGCCGGAAUAUAUUAGCAUUGAAUAAUAAAAUAGGACGUGCGGUUCUAUUUUGUUGGUUUUUGGAAUCGCCGUAAUGAUUAAUAGGGACAGUCGGGGGCAUUAGUACUCACAUGCUAGAGGUGAAAUUCUUGGAUUUUGUGAAGACUAACUUCUGCGAAAGCAUUUGCCAAGGAUGUUUUCAUUAA